RNAcentral lists this non-coding RNA (100 nucleotides) under Corynebacterium sphenisci. Its description in RNAcentral is "TPP sequence". It matches the Rfam family "TPP riboswitch aptamer (THI element)". Rfam says of the family: Vitamin B(1) in its active form thiamin pyrophosphate (TPP) is an essential coenzyme that is synthesised by coupling of pyrimidine and thiazole moieties in bacteria. RNAcentral also lists the same sequence under 1 other name. Lineage: Bacteria; Bacillati; Actinomycetota; Actinomycetes; Mycobacteriales; Corynebacteriaceae. The record is from RNAcentral.
GGCUGCGACACGGGGUGCCCGGGAGCGGCCCGGGCUGAGAACACACCCGUCGAACUUGAUCCGGUUAGCACCGGCGAAAGGAUGGUCAUCCAUGACUGCA